CCUACGGGUGGCAGCAGUGAGGAAUAUUGGUCAAUGGGCGCGAGCCUGAACCAGCCAAGUCGCGUGAGGGAAGACGGUCCUAUGGAUUGUAAACCUCUUUUGUCGGGGAGCAAAAGACGCCACGCGUGGCGUUCCGAGAGUACCCGAAGAAAAAGCAUCGGCUAACGCCGUGCCAGCAGCCGCGGUAAUACGGAGGAUGCGAGCGUUAUCCGGAUUUAUUGGGUUUAAAGGGUGCGCAGGCGGAAGAUUAAGUCAGCGGUAAAAUUGAGGGGCUCAACCUCUUCGAGCCGUUGAAACUGGUGUUCUUGAGUGGGAGAGAAGUAUGCGGAAUGCGUGGUGUAGCGGUGAAAUGCAUAGAUAUCACGCAGAACUCCGAUUGCGAAGGCAGCAUACCGGCGCUCAACUGACGCUCAUGCACGAAAGUGUGGGUAUCGAACAGGAUUAGAUACCCGUGUAGUC
Molecule: ribosomal RNA, 459 nt
Filed under: uncultured bacterium
Lineage: Bacteria
Description: partial 16S ribosomal RNA
Rfam family: Bacterial small subunit ribosomal RNA
Source: RNAcentral